GAUGAAGAACGUAGCGAAAUGCGAUAAGUAGUGUGAAUUGCAGAAUUCAGUGAAUCAUCGAAUCUUUGAACGCACAUUGCGCCCCUUGGUAUUCCGAGGGGCAUGCCUGUUCGAGCGUCAUUAUAACCCCUCAAGCUCAGCUUGGUGUUGGGGCCUGCUGCACUGGCAGCCCUUAAAAUCAGUGGCGGCGCCAUCUGGCUCUAAGCGUAGUAAUUCUUCUCGCUAUGGAGUCCUGGUGGAUGCUUGCCAUCAACCCCCAAUUUUUCUAUGGUUGACCUCGGAUCAGGUAGGGAUACCCGCUGAACUUAAGCAUAUCAAUAAGCGAAGGA
RNAcentral lists this unclassified non-coding RNA (329 nucleotides) under soil metagenome. RNAcentral describes it as "partial contains 5.8S ribosomal RNA, internal transcribed spacer 2, and large subunit ribosomal RNA". The stretch from base 1 to 120 matches the Rfam family "5.8S ribosomal RNA", at positions 35 to 154 of the family's 154-position model. The record is from RNAcentral.